Molecule: ribosomal RNA, 602 nt
Filed under: Inosperma calamistratum
Lineage: Eukaryota; Fungi; Basidiomycota; Agaricomycetes; Agaricales; Inocybaceae
Description: partial 28S ribosomal RNA
Rfam family: Eukaryotic large subunit ribosomal RNA
Source: RNAcentral
UUGACCUCAAAUCAGGUAGGACCACCCGCUGAACUUAAGCAUAUCAAUAAGCGGAGGAAAAGAAACUAACAAGGAUUCCCCUAGUAACUGCGAGUGAAGAGGGAAAAGCUCAAAUUUGUAAUCUGGCGGUCUUUGACUGUCCGAGUUGUAAUCUAGAGAAGUGUUACCUGCGCUGGACCAUGUACAAGUCUCCUGGAAUGGAGCAUCAUAGAGGGUGAGAAUCCCGUCUUUGACAUGGACUUCCAGAGCUUAUAGGUGUGCUCUCAAAGAGUCGAGUUGUUUGGGAAUGCAGCUCAAAAUGGGUGGUAAAUGCCAUCUAAAGCUAAAUAUUGGCGAGAGACCGAUAGCGAACAAGUACCGUGAGGGAAAGAUGAAAAGAACUUUGGAAAGAGAGUUAAACAGUACGUGAAAUUGCUGAAAGGGAAACGCUUGAAGUCAGUCGCAUCAGUUGGAAAUCAACCUUGCUUUUGCUGGGCGUACUUUCUGUCUGAUGGGUCAGCAUCAAUUUUGAUUGCUGGAUAAAGUUCUUGGGAAUGUGGCAUCUUUGGAUGUGUUAUAGCCUUUGGACAUAUACAGUGGUUGGGAUUGAGGAACUCAGCACG